Long non-coding RNA from Bradysia coprophila, 154 nucleotides. NCBI's taxonomy places the organism in Eukaryota, Metazoa, Arthropoda, Insecta, Diptera, Sciaridae. The record is from RefSeq and is a predicted model, not a curated record.
UGACAAGUGCAACUUCGUCGCACUUUUUCUCCGUCAAAUAUGAAAAACACUAUUCGUACCACGGACUAAAAGUCUUUUUUAGCGUGUUUCAUUCCAGACCUCACUGUCGGCUCUGUUUGGAAACCUGUCACCCACUAAAAAAGACUUUUAGUCC